UUAUAACGUUAAACGAAUAUUCGAUUAUAAACGAAAUUAUAACAAAACAAAAUAUUUUAUUAAAUGGGAAAAUUAUAAAUAUAAAAAGAAUAUUUGGAAACCUUUUAACCAUUUUUAGGAUUUCCAGGAACCAUUCCGCCAAUAUUAUUAGAAAUUGGAUUUGCGAGCAAAUUAACCAAAAAAAGGACAACUUAAAAAAAUACCACCUAUUAUUCCCAGAAAUUAAAAACCGAGCGGGAUUCGAAAUUAUACCAUUAAACGAACCUGUGGAGGAACAAUUAAUAUAUACCAAAUCGGAAUAUAUAAACAAAAUAAUUUAUUAACCAAAUAUUGCGCAAAAAUAUUUAUUUUAUCCAAUAAAAAAGAAUUUAAAGGACCUAUUGGGAAGGUCGAAUUCCAAACAAAAUUGGAAUCCGGAAAAAGUAAUUUUAAAAAUAUUUUAAAUAAAAUUUCGGCUAACCGACGACGUUUUUCCUAUUCCGCCUCCUUAUAUUCCACCCGAUCCAAUUCCUCCAAAUUAUUAAUUCCGCGAAAUAUAAUUCGCAUUAUUUUUUUAAAUUAUAUCCGUUUUUGUUUUCGAAGGCGUUUAAUUUUCGUAUUAAUUUAAUAACGCGUUUUUUUAACGGCCUUUAUUUCGGAUUCCAUUUAAAUAUAUUAAAAGCCAAUAUUCCGGAUUUUUACGGAAAAAAAACCCAAUAUAUUAUAAUUAAAACAAUUAAAAUGCAAAUAUUCCAUAUAACGAAAAAAAUCCUGGGGAAAAACCGAAUAUUUGGCCACCCCACGAAAUUUAUACGAGGAAUAAAAAGGCAUUUCCACCGUUAACGCCAGGAAAGAAAAAAAAAGGGCGGAUCGGCGUUUUGUCGACGAACGACCAAAUUUAGGUUUGGUUACGCAAUUAAAUAUAACGCAGGAAAAUUAACCAAAAGGGAAAAAAAACCAAAAUAAAAAUUAAGGGAAUACGGAUUAUUUAAAAGCCAAAGGGAUUUGGCCAAAAAAAGGAAACCUAAUAUUACAACCAAAUAAUUGGGCCAAUACCAGGAAGGCCAGGUGGGGUUAUACCUUUUUUAACGAUAUCCGCCCAGAAAAAUUACCGACCGGCAAAAUAAAAAUUAUAUAAAAAGGAAUUACAUAAUUUUACAUAAUUGUUAAAAAAAUAAUUUUAAUAAUUUUUUGGGAUUAUAACAAAUUAAGGGAAAUAAUUUCACUAAUCCAGUAAAAUUAAGGAAAUUAUAUUCGAAAUAUAAUUUAUAUAA
RNAcentral lists this small RNA (1253 nucleotides) under Pyricularia oryzae. Its description in RNAcentral is "Magnaporthe oryzae sRNA M_BR32_EuGene_00006771". Lineage: Eukaryota; Fungi; Ascomycota; Sordariomycetes; Magnaporthales; Pyriculariaceae. The record is from RNAcentral.